UAAAGGCUUGGUCCUGACUUUACUAUCAGCUCUAGCCUAACUUACACAUGCAAGUAUCCGCACCCCUGUGAGAAUGCCCUCAAUCCCCCGUCCGAGGAAGAGGAGCAGGCAUCAGGCACAAACCAUUUAGCCCAAAACGCCUUGCUAUGCCACACCCCCAAGGGAACUCAGCAGUGAUAAACAUUAAGCCAUAAGUGUAAACUUGACUUAAUUAGGGCUACAUUUAGGGCCGGUAAAAUUCGUGCCAGCCACCGCGGUUAUACGAAAGACCCUAGUUGAUAAACACGGCGUAAAGCGUAGUUAAGGAAAUGAAAAAUAAAGCUAAAGACCCUCUAAGCCGUCAUACGCACCCCGAGGACACGAAGCCCAAACACGAAAGUAGCUUUAAGCAAAACUCACCUGAACCUACGAAAGCUAAGAAACAAACUGGGAUUAGAUACCCCACUAUGCUUAGCCCUAAACCAAGAUGACCAGCUACAAACCCAUCCGCCAGGGUACUACGAGCCACAGCUUAAAACCCAAAGGACUUGGCGGUGUCUCAGACCCACCUAGAGGAGCCUGUUCUAGAACCGAUAACCCCCGUUAAACCUCACCACUUCUUGUUCCCGCCGCCUAUAUACCGCCGCCGUCAGCUUACCCUGUGAAGGCACAAUAGUAAGCAAAAUGGGUUCACCCAAAAACGUCAGGUCGAGGUGUAGCGUACGAGGUGGAUAGAAAUGGGCUACAUUUUCUACAACAGAACAUACGGAAGGCACCUUGAAACAUGUACCCAAAGGUGGAUUUAGUAGUAAAAAGCAAAUAGAGUGUUCUUUUGAAUUAGGCUCUGAGACGCGCACACACCGCCCGUCACUCUCCCCCCCCCCCCCCCCCCCCCCAUCCAUAAUAAUACAACAACCGCCACGGGGAGGCAAGUCGUAACAUGGUAAGUGUACCGGAAGGUGCACUUGGAAUAAU
RNAcentral lists this non-coding RNA (954 nucleotides) under Exostoma tibetanum. RNAcentral's name for it is "12S ribosomal RNA". It matches the Rfam family "Bacterial small subunit ribosomal RNA". The record is from RNAcentral. Lineage: Eukaryota; Metazoa; Chordata; Actinopteri; Siluriformes; Sisoridae.